UAUCAAGCUACUAAGGGCUUACGGUGGAUGCCUUGGUGCCAGGAGACGAUGAAGGGCGUGACAGGCUGCGAUAAGCUUCGGGGAGUUGCAUAAUAAACUGUGAUCCGGAGAUUCCCGAAUCGGGCAACCGAGCAGGUUAAUCCCUGCUACUUGUGUUUUACACAAGGGAAAACCAGGAGAAGUGAAACAUCUCAGUACCCUGAGGAAAAGAAAGAAAACCUCGAUUCCCCCAGUAGCGGCGAGCGAAAAGGGAA
RNAcentral lists this ribosomal RNA (254 nucleotides) under Candidatus Poribacteria bacterium. Its description in RNAcentral is "partial 23S ribosomal RNA". It matches the Rfam family "Bacterial large subunit ribosomal RNA", at positions 1 to 264 of the family's 2925-position model. The record is from RNAcentral. Lineage: Bacteria; Candidatus Poribacteria.